Molecule: long non-coding RNA, 456 nt
Filed under: Rhinopithecus bieti (black snub-nosed monkey)
Lineage: Eukaryota; Metazoa; Chordata; Mammalia; Primates; Cercopithecidae
Description: lncRNA (ENSRBIG00000046793.1)
Source: RNAcentral
CCUGGAGGCCCUGAAGGGCAUCUGGAGGUGGCCCAGAUCUUUCUCUGUGCUCCUCUGUGUAGCAGCCCAGGCUCCCUGUGCGGGCUUGGUGGUGUUGUUCCUUGGGGGUGGGGCAUGUGGGUGGCUCCUCCCUGAGCCCCGGUUCUCCCCUUGUGUCUUUCAGUGAGCUCUUCUGCCAAGGGGGUCCUCCUUGCAAUGACCAAUAUAGAUGGUGAGCAUGGAGGAAGACUUGCGUUGGGCCCAAUGGCUCUGGGCCAGUGUCUGUCAGCCAGUUCCAGCCCCAGGUGCACUGAAGCUCAGGCCUUUCCUGGCACCCUGGUCUCCUGCACUGAGCUAUGUGAGCUCCUCUGUCCAAGUGGUCCCCCCAGCCUUGAGCAGCAUAGGUGAGUACAUCCUGUUUUGGUCAUGAGCCAUGAGUGAUGCAGCAUGGGGUCCACGACAUUCAGCCUUCAGGCC